CCUACGGGAGGCAGCAGUGGGGAAUAUUGCACAAUGGAGGCAACUCUGACCCAGCAACGCCGCGUGAAUGAUGGAGGUCUUCGGAUUGUAAAGUUCUGUCAUGGGGGGUGAACACAAUGACGGUACCCCAAUAGCAAGCCACGGCUAACUACGUGCCAGCAGCCGCGGUAAUACGGAGGUGGCAAGCGUUAUCCGGAGUGACUGGGCGUAAAGGGUGCGUAGGUGGUCAAGUAAGUUGGCGGUGUAAGUCCGGGGCUCAACCUCGGCACUACCGCCAAAACUGUUAGACUAGAGUGCAGGAGGGGUAAGUGGAAUUCUUAGUGUAGCGGUGGAAUGCGUAGAUAUUAGGAGGAACAUCAGGGGCGAAGGCGACUUACUGGACUGUAACUGACACUGAGGCUCGAAAGCGUGGGGAGCAAACAGGAUUAGAUACCCCUGUAGUC
Molecule: ribosomal RNA, 443 nt
Filed under: uncultured bacterium
Lineage: Bacteria
Description: partial 16S ribosomal RNA
Rfam family: Bacterial small subunit ribosomal RNA
Source: RNAcentral